AUACAUACAACAUGGCUACAGGCAUUUGCUGAGGGUGGUCACUCAUUCAGCACAUGCUGCUAACCAGUUAUUAAUGCCCCUGACAUCUUUGGAGAAGUGUUUUCCCUUGUGCUCUCCCCCUGGAUCAACCCCUGGAUCCAACACUUCUCUCAGGAACUGAAAUUGUGCUGGAUUCUGCUGGCCAACUAAGGUUGUACUCUGUUAACUGAAUAGCAAUUCCUCAAUCAAAGUCUUU
Molecule: non-coding RNA, 235 nt
Organism: Pelobates cultripes (western spadefoot toad)
Lineage: Eukaryota; Metazoa; Chordata; Amphibia; Anura; Pelobatidae
Source: the annotation of a GenBank genome assembly